Molecule: long non-coding RNA, 524 nt
Filed under: Homo sapiens (human)
Lineage: Eukaryota; Metazoa; Chordata; Mammalia; Primates; Hominidae
Description: HSALNT0126169
Source: RNAcentral
UCAUCCAUUUAAAGUGUGCAAUACAGUGGUUUUUAGUAUACUCAUGGGUGGGACAACUAUCAUUACAAUCAAUUUUAGAACAUUUUUAUCAUCCCAAAAAGAAAGGCCAUACCCAGUUUAAACUAACAAUCUUAAACACAUUAAGAUGGGUUUAUCAAUAUACUUUUUUUUUUUUUUCAGAGACAGGGUCUUGCUCUGUUGCCCAGGCUGGAGUGCAGUGGCAUGAUCAUAGCUCACUGCAGCCUCGAACUCCUGGGAUCAAGCAAUCCUCUUGCCUCAACCUCCCUAGUAGCUAGGAUUACAGGCACACGCCACCCAGCACACUUUGGGAGGCCGAGGCGGACGGAUUACUUGACAUCACGAAGUGGUGUUAGAUUUUGUCAAAUGCUUUUUCUACAUGUGUUGAGAUGCUGUUUUGGUGUUUGGCCUUUGUCUAUUGAUACGGUGCGUGACAUUAAUUGAUUUUAAGUUGUUAAACCAACCCUGCAUUGUGAGAUAAACUCAACUUGGUCACGGUACACAGU